This 301-nucleotide ribosomal RNA is filed under the name uncultured bacterium. RNAcentral describes it as "partial 16S ribosomal RNA". It matches the Rfam family "Bacterial small subunit ribosomal RNA", at positions 509 to 808 of the family's 1533-position model. The record is from RNAcentral.
CAGCAGCCACGGUAACACGUAGGGGGCAAGCGUUAUCCGGAAUAACUGGGCGUAAAGGGUGCGCAGGUGGUUUAACAAGUUAGUGGUGAAAGGCAUAGGCUCAACCAAUGUAAGCCAUUAAAACUGUUUAACUUGAGUGCAGGAGAGGAAAGUGGAAUUCCUAGUGUAGCGGUGAAAUGCGCAGAUAUUAGGAGGAAUACCAGUGGCGAAGGCGACUUUCUGGACUGCAACUGACGCUGAGGCUCGAAAGCGUGGGGAGCAAACAGGAUUAGAUACCCCCGUAGUCCCUGUCUCUUAUACA